Molecule: non-coding RNA, 72 nt
Organism: Dujonia railenensis
Lineage: Eukaryota; Fungi; Ascomycota; Pichiomycetes; Serinales; Debaryomycetaceae
Source: the annotation of a GenBank genome assembly
GUGACAAUAAGUUAACUGGUAAACUUUGGCACUUCCAAUGCUACUAUAUGUGUUCGAUCCACAUUUGUCAUA